UACGUAGGGGGCGAGCGUUGUCCGGAGUUACUGGGCGUAAAGCGCACGCAGGCGGUCGUGUCAGUUUGGGGUUACAGCUCCCGGCUCAACCGGGAGAGCGCCUCGAAGACGGCAGGACUUGAGGGCCAAAGAGGGACACAGAAUUCCGGGUGUAGUGGUGAAAUGCGUAGAUAUCCGGAGGAAUACCAAAGGCGAAGGCAGUGUCCUGGUUGGUACCUGACGCUCAGGUGCGAAAGCUAGGGGAGCGAACGGG
Molecule: ribosomal RNA, 253 nt
Filed under: uncultured Ktedonobacter sp.
Lineage: Bacteria; Bacillati; Chloroflexota; Ktedonobacteria; Ktedonobacterales; Ktedonobacteraceae
Description: partial 16S ribosomal RNA
Rfam family: Bacterial small subunit ribosomal RNA
Source: RNAcentral